GAUGAACGCUAGCGGCAGGCCUAAUACAUGCAAGUCGAACGAGAUUAAGAGGCUUGCUUCUUAUGAAAGUGGCGCACGGGUGCGUAACGCGUAUGCAACCUACCUUAAUCAGAGGGAUAGCCCGAAGAAAUUCGGAUUAAGGCCGCAUAAAAACACAGGAUAGCAUUAUCCAAUGUUCAAAUAUUUAUAGGAUUAAGAUGGGCAUGCGUGUCAUUAGCUAGUUGGCGGGGUAACGGCCCACCAAGGCGACGAUGACUAGGGGAUCUGAGAGGAUGACCCCCCACACUGGUACUGAGACACGGACCAGACUCCUACGGGAGGCAGCAGUAAGGAAUAUUGGUCAAUGGAGGGAACUCUGAACCAGCCAUGCCGCGUGCAGGAAGACAGCCCUCUGGGUCGUAAACUGCUUUUAGUCGGGAAUAAACCUUUCUACGUGUAGGAAGCUGAAUGUACCGAAGGAAUAAGGAUCGGCUAACUCCGUG
RNAcentral lists this ribosomal RNA (482 nucleotides) under uncultured bacterium. Its description in RNAcentral is "partial 16S ribosomal RNA". It matches the Rfam family "Bacterial small subunit ribosomal RNA", at positions 28 to 507 of the family's 1533-position model. The record is from RNAcentral.